This 71-nucleotide transfer RNA is filed under the name Enterococcus faecium. Its description in RNAcentral is "tRNA-Glu". It matches the Rfam family "tRNA". Rfam says of the family: Transfer RNA (tRNA) molecules are approximately 80 nucleotides in length. Lineage: Bacteria; Bacillati; Bacillota; Bacilli; Lactobacillales; Enterococcaceae. The record is from RNAcentral. RNAcentral also lists the same sequence under 11 other names.
GGCCCGUUGGUCAAGCGGUUAAGACACCGCCCUUUCACGGCGGUAACACGGGUUCGAAUCCCGUACGGGUC